GACGAACGCUGGCGGCGUGCUUAACACAUGCAAGUCGAACGAAGAGCGAUGGAAGCUUGCUUCUAGUAUUCUUAGUGGCGAACGGGUGAGUAACGCGUUAUGAAUCCGCCCUUCAGAGGGGGACAACAGUUGGAAACGACUGCUAAUACCGCAUAUGAUCUAACCUCGGCAUCGACGACAGAUGAAAGGUGGCCUCUACUUGUAAGCUAUCACUGAAGGAGGGGAAUGCGUCUGACUAGCUAGAUGGAGGGGUAACGUCCCACAAAGGCGAUGACCGGUAGCCGCUCAGAGAGGAGGAACGGCCACACUGGGACGGGAACACGACCCAGAAUACUACGGGAGGCAGCAGGGGGGGACCUUACGGAAUGGACGAAAGGCUGACAGAGCGACGACGGGCGAGGGAUGACGGCCGUCGGGUUGUGAAACUCUGUAAGUCGGGACGGAAGGCCUUCUUGCGAAUAGUGAGAAGGAUUGACGGUACCGGGAUAGAAAGCCACGGCUAACUACGUG
This 510-nucleotide ribosomal RNA is filed under the name uncultured bacterium. Its description in RNAcentral is "partial 16S ribosomal RNA". It matches the Rfam family "Bacterial small subunit ribosomal RNA", at positions 28 to 507 of the family's 1533-position model. The record is from RNAcentral.